GACUGUGGUGUUGUUUAUCCAUCAUCCAAGAGAACAUGGCUACAGGCAUGAAUAGAGUGCAUUUUCUUAUUGCAAUUUUGUGCAUUGCUAUCGUUUUGACUCCAAGUACUUCAAAUCCUGAUGGGGUCUAUUGCAUUGGCAAAGGAACCUGCCCAAGCGAUGGAGUAUGCGAUGCUACGUGUAGAAAAUAUCGCGUCUAUAGUGGUGGAAAGUGUGUCGACAAUCGGUGUUGUUGUGAAACUUGGAUAAUGUAACUAUAUAUUAUAAGGACACUAUAUUAUAAGGGUUUGUUUGAUGGACACAAUAAAGGAUAUGAUAUGAAUAAGUUAUUAUAUCA
Non-coding RNA from Cicer arietinum (chickpea), 337 nucleotides. Lineage: Eukaryota; Viridiplantae; Streptophyta; Magnoliopsida; Fabales; Fabaceae. The record is from RefSeq and is a predicted model, not a curated record.